GAUACCCUAUUAUUGGAAAUGUGAUUUUUUGCUAUAAUUAUUAUUAGUUAAGUUCUUUAAAGUUAAAAAAUUUGGCGGUAUUUUAGUCUUUUCAGAGGAACCUGUUGUGUAAUUGAUAGUCCACGAUUAUUUUUACUUUGAUUUUAAAUUUAUAUAUCGUCGUUGAUAAAAAUUCUGGGAGGAUUAGAAUUUUUGUGAUAUUUUAUUUUAUAGAAUUUCAGAUCAAGGUGUAGUUUAUGUUAAAGAAUUAAUGGGUUACAUUAUAUUUAUAUGUGGUUUAAUGUUUUAAAAGUGUUAAUAAAAUGGAUUUGAUAGUAAAUUUUUAAUUUUUGAUAAUUGAUUUAGCUCUAAAAUAUGUACACAUCGCC
RNAcentral lists this ribosomal RNA (368 nucleotides) under Calymmus berardi. Its description in RNAcentral is "partial 12S ribosomal RNA". The record is from RNAcentral. Lineage: Eukaryota; Metazoa; Arthropoda; Insecta; Coleoptera; Tenebrionidae.